AUCAUACUCCCUCCGUUCGGAAUUACUUGUCGCAGAAAUGAUGUAUCUGGAUGUAUUUUAGUUCCAGAUACAUCCAUUUCCGAGACAAGUAAUUCCGAACGGAGGGAGUAGAUA
Molecule: non-coding RNA, 114 nt
Organism: Triticum urartu
Lineage: Eukaryota; Viridiplantae; Streptophyta; Magnoliopsida; Poales; Poaceae
Source: Rfam